This 505-nucleotide ribosomal RNA is filed under the name uncultured bacterium. Its description in RNAcentral is "partial 16S ribosomal RNA". It matches the Rfam family "Bacterial small subunit ribosomal RNA", at positions 28 to 507 of the family's 1533-position model. The record is from RNAcentral.
GACGAACGCUGGCGGCGUGCCUAAUACAUGCAAGUAGAACGCACAGUUUAUACCGUAGCUUGCUACACCAUAGACUGUGAGUUGCGAACGGGUGAGUAACGCGUAGGUAACCUGCCUGGUAGCGGGGGAUAACUAUUGGAAACGAUAGCUAAUACCGCAUAAUAUUGAUUAUUGCAUGAUAAUUGAUUGAAAGAUGCUAUUGCAUCACUCCCAGAUGGACCUGCGUUGUAUUAGCUAGUAGGUGAGGUAACGGCUCACCUAGGCGACGAUACAUAGCCGACCUGAGAGGGUGAUCGGCCACACUGGGACUGAGACACGGCCCAGACUCCUACGGGAGGCAGCAGUAGGGAAUCUUCGGCAAUGGACGAAAGUCUGACCGAGCAACGCCGCGUGAGUGAAGAAGGUUUUCGGAUCGUAAAGCUCUGUUGUAAGAGAAGAACGGGUGUGAGAGUGGAAAGUUCACACUGUGACGGUAUCUUACCAGAAAGGGACGGCUAACUACGUG